Molecule: long non-coding RNA, 236 nt
Filed under: Elaeis guineensis (African oil palm)
Lineage: Eukaryota; Viridiplantae; Streptophyta; Magnoliopsida; Arecales; Arecaceae
Description: long non-coding RNA (EGUI_LNC031229)
Source: RNAcentral
GGCCUGGUUCAAGCCUAUUCAGCUUUGAGUUCAAGUAAGUUGUAUCAAGAAGAGCCUAUCCAAAUCGGUCCUAUAGAUACCCAUAGAGGCAGAACACUUGUGCUGCUAAUUUAAAACUUGCUCAACCCUGAGAUCCAGAGAUCGAAUUGGAUUCAACCCUAGUUACAGAUUUGAGGCAAAAGAAAAGCAAUUUAGAUAUGCAAUUUGAUUAUAAACUUUUAUUUCUUUCUACUAAA